GGUAAAGUGGCCGAGUGGUCUAAGGCGCACGGUUUAGGUUUCUUCAUUUGUCUCCGUGUCUCGAAAGAGGCGAGGGUUCGAACCCCUCCUUUGCCA
Molecule: non-coding RNA, 96 nt
Organism: Penicillium arizonense
Lineage: Eukaryota; Fungi; Ascomycota; Eurotiomycetes; Eurotiales; Aspergillaceae
Source: Rfam